GCAGGUAUAGUUCAACGGAUAGAGCAUCAGUUUACGAAGCUGAGAAUCGGGGUUCGAAUCCCUGUAUCUGCACCA
Molecule: transfer RNA, 75 nt
Filed under: Staphylococcus haemolyticus
Lineage: Bacteria; Bacillati; Bacillota; Bacilli; Caryophanales; Staphylococcaceae
Also listed under: 1 other name
Description: tRNA-Arg
Rfam family: tRNA
About the family: Transfer RNA (tRNA) molecules are approximately 80 nucleotides in length.
Source: RNAcentral